Diceros bicornis minor is the source of this 448-nucleotide long non-coding RNA. RefSeq lists it as uncharacterized. Lineage: Eukaryota; Metazoa; Chordata; Mammalia; Perissodactyla; Rhinocerotidae. The transcript has 3 exons. The record is from RefSeq and is a predicted model, not a curated record.
GGAGAACUCCAAUGGCGUCUGUGUCAGCACGCCCACCGCAGACCACAACAAUGGCUGCCGCCAAUGUCCCAGUCCCUGGAGAGCUCUCACCUCUCACCGAGAUGCACACAGGGCUUAUGAGAAUAUAGUCUGUCUUGGUAAACGUUUCUACUGCACCUGAAAAAAAGUAUAUUCUGCCAUUGAUGGGGAACUGAAAAGGUGUGAGGAGGCCACUCAAGACUGAAACCCACUGUUAAGGAAAGAAAUAACAUUGGACCCUGUGGGCAGAACAGAAGGAGAAAUCUGGAUAAUGGAUGCCAGAAAUAGCCUGACGCCCUCCCUAUUUUUCCAUCCUCCCUGUAUAACUGCCUCAAAAUUUUGUGCUUGCUGAAGAUGGUCUUUGGGACAUGAGUCCACCAUCUUCUGAUUUUGCUAGGUAAUUGAAUAAAUCCCUUUCUCGACCACUGAA